This 322-nucleotide unclassified non-coding RNA is filed under the name Hevea brasiliensis (rubber tree). Lineage: Eukaryota; Viridiplantae; Streptophyta; Magnoliopsida; Malpighiales; Euphorbiaceae. The record is from RNAcentral.
CUAAAUUUAAAAGGAACUUAAUUUUUUUUGGGUAAGUUAGAUUCUUUAGGUUAUGGGCGUUAUACUCAUGGUGGAGUCAUAAGAGUUAGCUGAGGUGUGCUCUUAUGAUUCUGAAAGUCAAAAAGAUUGGAAUAAAGAAUCUCUACAAGGUAGAAGGAAGCAUAUUGAUUGGAAAAAUGCAAUUUGAGGUAAGAGGCAACCCCAACAAUCAAGAGUACAAGAAAGUAUCCAAGAAAAAGCUAACAUUUGCAAAAGUUAUUGUAACGCCCUCACCAUAGGUAAUUCGUACAUUUUACUAUUCCGAUGACUAAUGUCUGUUCGG